AGUCGAGGGGUAACGACUCCGUCUUCGGAUGGAGGUCGACGACCGGCGCACGGGUGAGUAACGCGUAUGCAACCUACCUUUUACAGGAGGAUAGCCCAGAGAAAUUUGGAUUAAUACUCCAUAGUACUAAUGAAUCACCUGGUUUAUUAGUUAAAACUCCGGUGGUAAAAGAUGGGCAUGCGUGUCAUUAGCUAGUUGGUAAGGUAACGGCUUACCAAGGCGAAGAUGACUAGGGGUUCUGAGAGGAAGAUCCCCCACACUGGUACUGAGACACGGACCAGACUCCUACGGGAGGCAGCAGUGAGGAAUAUUGGUCAAUGGGUGAGAGCCUGAACCAGCCAUGCCGCGUGAAGGAAGACUGCCCUAUGGGUUGUAAACUUCUUUACUGCAGGAAGACAUCACUCUACGUGUAGGGUGUUGCCGGUACUGCAGGAAUAAGCAUCGGCCUAACUCCGUGCCAGCAGAACGCGGUAAUACGGAGGAUGAAAGCGUUAUCCGGAUAUAUUGAGUUAAAAGGGUGCGUAGGCAGGCUUGUACGUCAAUGGUGAAAUGCUGAGGCUAUAACCAUAGAAUUGCCAUUGAAACUGCAAGUCUUGAGUACAGUUGAAGUGGGCGGAAUGAGUAAUGUAGCGGUGAAAUGCAUCGAUAUAACUCGGAACUCCGAUUGCGUAGGCAGCGUGCUAACUGGAACUGGACGCUGAUGCACGUUAGCCUUUGGUUCGAACAGGAUUAGAUACCCUGGUAGUCCACGCGGUGAUCGAUGUAGCACUGGUUUGUUGGCAAUACACCGUCAGCGACUGAGCGAAGGUAUUAAGUGCUCCACCUGGGGAGUACGUCUGGCAACGAUGAAACUCAAAGGAAUUGACGGGGGCCCUGCACAAGCGGAGGUACAUGUGGUUUAAUUCGAUGAUACGCGAGGAACCUUACCUGGGCUUAAAUGUAGAGUGCAUUGUUUGGAUACAGACAUUUUCUUCGGGACUCUUUACAAGGUGCUGCAUGGUUGUCGUCAGCUCGUGCCGUGAGGUGUCGGGUUAAGUCCCAUAACGAGCGCAACCCCUAUUGUUAGUUACCAGCACGUUAUGGUGGGGACUCUAGCAAGACUGCCGGUGUAAACCGUGUAGGAAGGUGGGGAUGACGUCAAAUUAGCACGGCCCUUUAUGUCCAGGGCUACACACGUGUUACAAUGGCAAGUACAAAGAGCAGCCACCUGGCGACAGGGCGCUAAUCUCAAAAGCUUGCCUCAGUUCGGAUCGAAGUCUGCAACUCGACUUCGUGAAGGUGGAUUCGCUAGUAAUCGCGCAUCAGCCAUGGCGCGGUGAUACGUUCCCGGGCAUGUACACACCGCCCGUCAAGCCAUGGAAGCCGGGGGUACCUGAAGUCCGUAACC
RNAcentral lists this ribosomal RNA (1387 nucleotides) under uncultured organism. RNAcentral describes it as "bacterial SSU rRNA". It matches the Rfam family "Bacterial small subunit ribosomal RNA", at positions 60 to 1435 of the family's 1533-position model. The record is from RNAcentral.